UACGGGGGGAGCUAGCGUUGUUCGGAAUUACUGGGCGUAAAGCGCACGUAGGCGGCUUUUUAAGUCAGGGGUGAAAUCCCGGGGCUCGACCCCGGAACUGCCCUUGAAACUGGAGAGCUAGAAUCUUGGAGAGGCGAGUGGAAUUCCGAGUGUAGAGGUGAAAUUCGUAGAUAUUCGGAAGAACACCAGUGGCGAAGGCGACUCGCUGGACAAGUAUUGACGCUGAGGUGCGAAAGCGUGGGGAGCAAACAAG
RNAcentral lists this ribosomal RNA (253 nucleotides) under uncultured bacterium. Its description in RNAcentral is "partial 16S ribosomal RNA". It matches the Rfam family "Bacterial small subunit ribosomal RNA", at positions 524 to 776 of the family's 1533-position model. The record is from RNAcentral.